ACGGCGAGUGAAGCGGCAACAGCUCAAAUUUUAAAUCUGGCUCCCUCGGGGUCCGAGUUGUAAUUUGCAGAGGGUGCUUUGGCGUCGGUAGCGGUCUAAGUUCCUUGGAACAGGACAUCACAGAGGGUGAGAAUCCCGUACGUGGUCGCUAACCUUCGCCGUGUAAAGCCCCUUCGACGAGUCGAGUUGUUUGGGAAUGCAGCUCUAAAUGGGAGGUAAAUUUCUUCUAAAGCUAAAUACCGGCCAGAGACCGAUAGCGCACAAGUAGAGUGAUCGAAAGAUGAAAAGCACUUUGGAAAGAGAGUCAAAUAGCACGUGAAAUUGUUGAAAGGGAAGCGCUUGCAGUCAGACUUGCCCGUAGUUGCUCACCUAGGCUUUUGCCUGGGGCACUCUUCUGCGGGCAGGCCAGCAUCAGUUUGGGCGGCCGGACAAAGACCUCUGUCAUGUAUCUUCCUUCGGGAUGACCUUAUAGGGGAGGUGUAAUGCGGCCAGCCCGGACUGAGGUCCGCGCUUUUGCUAGGAUGCUGGCGUAAUGGCUGUAAGCGGCCCGUCUUGAAACACGGACCAAGGAGUCUAACAUCUAUGCGAGUGUUUGGGUGUCAAGCCCGGGCGCGCAAUGAAAGUGAACGGAGGUGGGAACCUUUGGGUGCACCAUCGACCGAUCCUGAUGUCUUCGGAUGGAUUUGAGUAAGAGCAUAGCUGUUGGGACCCGAAAGAUGGUGAACUAUGCUUGAAUAGGGUGAAGCCAGAGGAAACUCUGGUGGAGGCUCGCAGCGGUUCUGACGUGCAAAUCGAUCGUCAAAUUUGGGCAUAGGGGCGAA
RNAcentral lists this ribosomal RNA (821 nucleotides) under Leucaenicola sp. RNAcentral describes it as "partial large subunit ribosomal RNA". It matches the Rfam family "Eukaryotic large subunit ribosomal RNA", at positions 86 to 927 of the family's 3401-position model. The record is from RNAcentral. Lineage: Eukaryota; Fungi; Ascomycota; Dothideomycetes; Pleosporales; Bambusicolaceae.